This 765-nucleotide long non-coding RNA is filed under the name Equus asinus (donkey). Its description in RNAcentral is "lncRNA (ENSEASG00005033375.1)". Lineage: Eukaryota; Metazoa; Chordata; Mammalia; Perissodactyla; Equidae. The record is from RNAcentral.
GGCAGAGUCAUUUUCAUGCAGAAGAGGAACUCCAGCAUUUUCUCUAAAAAGUCCUGGAUGUGGCCCACAUCCCCAGUGCCAUCCCGCGGGUGUCUCUCUUUCCACCCAGCUCUUGCUUCUUGCCACUUCUGACACUUACACGUUCUCCCACUGGGAUCCCCGCCUAGCCUGCCUAUGGGACUUCUUGAGGACACAAGCAUUACUUCCUGCCGGGGCUCAAAUCUAGCCAAGGAAUACUGAAUGAAUCAGCUACAAACACAAUGAUUCUCCACUGCUGUUUCUUUGGAAAUGAAAUGCUAAAUUGGUGAAGGGCGAUGGGAAAGAGUUAUGGGAAGCAAGAAGGAGCCAAUGAGGGUCCACAGUGCAGCUGUACUAUAGGAUUCCUGAAAGAGCAGUCAGCAUAAGGUCAACUGUAACACCGUGGAGACCAAGGUAGUCUCGACUCAGCAUUCCCGGAGAUGACAGCAGAGAUGGUAGAACAACCACAGCUAUUUAGAUGGACCUGACGCCAACCUGGAAUGUCCAGAAAUCCUGAAUGUGCGGGCAAGGGGUGUGCUGAUCAUGCUGGUGAGCAUUCUGUUUUGUAAAAGUAUAUUGCAAUCCUGAUUGUUUCAAUUCUCUUAAAAAUUAGUUUUGCGCAGUCCUACAAGUAAUUUCUCUGCUGCCUUUUUUUUCUUCCUGACAAUGGUAGAUCCAGGGUCACAAUAAACUCCAUCCAGAACCAGCUUUCUGGAGUGGCCAACUGUUCCUUUCAUUAUAAUCUAG